CUGGAUAAUUGCUGAUAUUUUAUAUUAGAGGAAAGUCCAUGCUCGCACUAGCUGAGAUGCUAGUAGUGUUUGUGCUAGAUGAAAAAAUAAAUCUAGGUAUAUGGGAGCAUAUAACGGCAAGACAACACCUAAGUCAAUUGAUAUGGUUUAGUCUUUGAAAGUGCCACAGUGACGUAGUUUAUUGGAAACAAUAAAGUGGAACGCGGUAAACCCCACAAGCGAGAAACCCAAAUUUGGUAGGGGAAGUAGAGAAAAAGAAUUCAAUUUUUCUAGACAUGCAUUUGCAUAGAUAAAUAGUUAUCCUAGACAGAACAUGGCUUACAA
Molecule: RNase P RNA, 324 nt
Filed under: human gut metagenome
Description: Bacterial RNase P class B
Rfam family: Bacterial RNase P class B
About the family: Ribonuclease P (RNase P) is a ubiquitous endoribonuclease, found in archaea, bacteria and eukarya as well as chloroplasts and mitochondria. Its best characterised activity is the generation of mature 5'-ends of tRNAs by cleaving the 5'-leader elements of precursor-tRNAs. Cellular RNase Ps are ribonucleoproteins.
Source: RNAcentral